UACGGGGGGGGUAAGCGUUGUUCGGAAUUACUGGGCGUAAAGGGCUCGUAGGCGGCCAACUAAGUCAUACGUGAAAUCCCUCAGCUUAACUGGGGAACUGCGUGUGAUACUGGAUGGCUUGGAUUUGGGAGAGGGAUGCGGAAUUCCAGGUGUAGCGGUGAAAUGCGUAGAUAUCUGGAGGAACACCUGCGGCGAAGGCGGGUUGCUGGGCUGAUACUGACGCUGAGGCGCGAAAGCCAGGGGAGCGAACGGG
RNAcentral lists this ribosomal RNA (253 nucleotides) under uncultured bacterium. RNAcentral's name for it is "partial 16S ribosomal RNA". It matches the Rfam family "Bacterial small subunit ribosomal RNA", at positions 524 to 776 of the family's 1533-position model. The record is from RNAcentral.